AUGAGCAGGGUGUGCGUCACCGGAGCUGCAGGCUACAUCGCGUCCUGGCUCGUCAAGAAGCUCCUCGACAGAGGCUGCACCGUCCAUGGGACCGUACGAAACCUCGGGGAUGAGAAGAAGACGGAGCUGCUGAGGGGGCUCCCCGGCGCGGCGGAGCGGCUGGUGCUGUUCGAGGCGGACAUCUAUGACGCUGCCUCAUUCGAGCCGGCCAUCCAAGGCUGCGAGUUCGUCUUCCUCGUCGCCACCCCGCUGCAGCACAACUCCGGCAGCUCCAAGUACAAGGACACCACCGAAGCGACAUUGGACGCGACGCGCACCAUCCUGCAGCAGUGCGAGCGGUCCAAGACGGUGAAGCGUGUCAUCCACACGGGCUCCGUUGUCACAGCCUCGCCGCUCCGGGAGGACGGCGACGGGUACAAAGAGUUCGUGAACGAAUCCUGCUGGACCCCACUCGGCCUGUCCUGCGACCACAGCAACGAAUACAUGGACGCUUAUGUAUCCUCGAAGACCAUCUCUGAGGAGGAAUUACUCAAGUACAACGAUGACUUCUUCGAGGGUAGAGCGUUCGACGUUGUUGUCUUGGUAUGCGGCCUCGUAGGAGGAGACACCAUCCUGCCGUACAUCAGUGAUAGCCUCCAUGUCAUGUUGUCGCCUCUAACCGGCAUCGAGAUCUAUCACAACUCCCUCAAGUUCCUACAGGCCCUCCUCGGCUCCGUACCACUGGUGCAUGUCGAUGACGUCUGCGAGGCACAUGUCUUCUGCAUGGAGAAGUCGUCUGAUGUUGUUGGUGGCCGAUACCUUUGCACCACCGCGCACACCAACAUGCAUGACAUCUUGGAGCACUACGCCCGCAUGCACCCCGAACUCGAGCGGAUCAAAGAAGUGGUGGGAGAGGGAUUGAGAGUGCAGGCUAACACAAACAAACUUGUGGAGCUGGGAUUCAAGUAUAAGUAUGGAGCAGAGGAGGUGCUUGAUGGAAGCGUGGAUUGCGGGAAGAGGUUAGGAUUGUUGUAA
This 1014-nucleotide ribosomal RNA is filed under the name Triticum aestivum (bread wheat). RNAcentral's name for it is "partial small subunit ribosomal RNA". The record is from RNAcentral. Lineage: Eukaryota; Viridiplantae; Streptophyta; Magnoliopsida; Poales; Poaceae.